RNAcentral lists this ribosomal RNA (826 nucleotides) under Limosilactobacillus fermentum. RNAcentral describes it as "bacterial SSU rRNA". It matches the Rfam family "Bacterial small subunit ribosomal RNA", at positions 540 to 1366 of the family's 1533-position model. The record is from RNAcentral. Lineage: Bacteria; Bacillati; Bacillota; Bacilli; Lactobacillales; Lactobacillaceae.
GUUAUCCGGAUUUAUUGGGCGUAAAGAGAGUGCAGGCGGUUUUCUAAGUCUGAUGUGAAAGCCUUCGGCUUAACCGGAGAAGUGCAUCGGAAACUGGAUAACUUGAGUGCAGAAGAGGGUAGUGGAACUCCAUGUGUAGCGGUGGAAUGCGUAGAUAUAUGGAAGAACACCAGUGGCGAAGGCGGCUACCUGGUCUGCAACUGACGCUGAGACUCGAAAGCAUGGGUAGCGAACAGGAUUAGAUACCCUGGUAGUCCAUGCCGUAAACGAUGAGUGCUAGGUGUUGGAGGGUUUCCGCCCUUCAGUGCCGGAGCUAACGCAUUAAGCACUCCGCCUGGGGAGUACGACCGCAAGGUUGAAACUCAAAGGAAUUGACGGGGGCCCGCACAAGCGGUGGAGCAUGUGGUUUAAUUCGAAGCUACGCGAAGAACCUUACCAGGUCUUGACAUCUUGCGCCAACCCUAGAGAUAGGGCGUUUCCUUCGGGAACGCAAUGACAGGUGGUGCAUGGUCGUCGUCAGCUCGUGUCGUGAGAUGUUGGGUUAAGUCCCGCAACGAGCGCAACCCUUGUUACUAGUUGCCAGCAUUAAGUUGGGCACUCUAGUGAGACUGCCGGUGACAAACCGGAGGAAGGUGGGGACGACGUCAGAUCAUCAUGCCCCUUAUGACCUGGGCUACACACGUGCUACAAUGGACGGUACAACGAGUCGCGAACUCGCGAGGGCAAGCAAAUCUCUUAAAACCGUUCUCAGUUCGGACUGCAGGCUGCAACUCGCCUGCACGAAGUCGGAAUCGCUAGUAAUCGCGGAUCAGCAUGCCGCGGUGAA